Molecule: ribosomal RNA, 465 nt
Filed under: uncultured bacterium
Lineage: Bacteria
Description: partial 16S ribosomal RNA
Rfam family: Bacterial small subunit ribosomal RNA
Source: RNAcentral
GAUGAACGCUGGCGGCGUGCUUAACACAUGCAAGUCGAACGGAAAGGCUCCUGCUUGCAGGGGUACUCGAGUGGCGAACGGGUGAGUAACACGUGGGUGAUCUGCCCUGCACUUCGGGAUAAGCCUGGGAAACUGGGUCUAAUACCGGAUAGGACGAUGGUUUGGAUGCCAUUGUGGAAAGUUUUUCGGUGUGGGAUGAGCUCGCGGCCUAUCAGCUUGUUGGUGGGGUAAUGGCCUACCAAGGCGUCGACGGGUAGCCGGCCUGAGAGGGUGUACGGCCACAUUGGGACUGAGAUACGGCCCAGACUCCUACGGGAGGCAGCAGUGGGGAAUAUUGCGCAAUGGGCGCAAGCCUGAUGCAGCGACGCCGCGUGGGGGAUGACGGCCUUCGGGUUGUAAACUCCUUUCGCUAGGGACGAAGCGCAAGUGACGGUACCUGGAGAAGAAGCACUGGCUAACUACGUG